Molecule: transfer RNA, 63 nt
Filed under: Stephanitis chinensis
Lineage: Eukaryota; Metazoa; Arthropoda; Insecta; Hemiptera; Tingidae
Description: tRNA-Asp
Source: RNAcentral
AAGAAAUUAGUUUAAAAAAAACAUUACUUUGUCAAAGUAAAAAUAUAUUGUAUAUAUUUCUUU